Long non-coding RNA from Physeter macrocephalus (sperm whale), 577 nucleotides. RefSeq lists it as uncharacterized. The transcript is spliced from 3 exons. NCBI's taxonomy places the organism in Eukaryota, Metazoa, Chordata, Mammalia, Artiodactyla, Physeteridae. The record is from RefSeq and is a predicted model, not a curated record.
ACAUAUAAUUUAAUUUAGGAAAAAGAUUUACACACAUUUGUAUCGACUCUCUAUUUUGUGAGGCCGGGUGAUAUGGGGGAAAGGACACAGGGUUAAGCAUUCAGAAAUCUUAACUGCAGCCCUGGCUUUCCUGCUGCCGGACAUUCAAAGCCUUCAAGCUCUGCUCUCUUCCCAGGACGGCUUUGGGCACCACAUGCUGGUGGGGAUGUGCCCUGAUGCUGUCUGCGUAGCGUUGUUUCACGCUCACCUGGGAAACGAGCACACGCCAGCACAGUGCGGCGGCUGUUACGGGUCCACUGCUAAGGAAUUCCAGGAAGCACAGAUUCCUCAGCACCAACCUGAGGUCAGAGUCCUAAGGGUCCGUUUAUAACUAUAAAUCCACACGACCCCGGCUUGGAGGCUGCGGCUUUGACAGCAUCAGAAACCUCCCAAGAGGCAUCUUUGGUGCUAAAUGGAACUAGAAAGAGAAAUUAGGUAUAAAAUUGCUGACGUUCAGUGAACGCUUCCAGGUUCCAGGCACCGCGCUGACCACUGGACACCCACUAUGACAUUCACUCAGCAUUCGGCCUCGUGAACC